Molecule: ribosomal RNA, 1508 nt
Filed under: metagenome
Description: bacterial SSU rRNA
Rfam family: Bacterial small subunit ribosomal RNA
Source: RNAcentral
AGAGUUUGAUCCUGGCUCAGGACGAACGCUGGCGGCGUGCCUAAUACAUGCAAGUCGAGCGGACAGAUGGGAGCUUGCUCCCUGAUGUUAGCGGCGGACGGGUGAGUAACACGUGGGUAACCUGCCUGUAAGACUGGGAUAACUCCGGGAAACCGGGGCUAAUACCGGAUGGUUGUUUGAACCGCAUGGUUCAAACAUAAAAGGUGGCUUCGGCUACCACUUACAGAUGGACCCGCGGCGCAUUAGCUAGUUGGUGAGGUAACGGCUCACCAAGGCGACGAUGCGUAGCCGACCUGAGAGGGUGAUCGGCCACACUGGGACUGAGACACGGCCCAGACUCCUACGGGAGGCAGCAGUAGGGAAUCUUCCGCAAUGGACGAAAGUCUGACGGAGCAACGCCGCGUGAGUGAUGAAGGUUUUCGGAUCGUAAAGCUCUGUUGUUAGGGAAGAACAAGUACCGUUCGAAUAGGGCGGUACCUUGACGGUACCUAACCAGAAAGCCACGGCUAACUACGUGCCAGCAGCCGCGGUAAUACGUAGGUGGCAAGCGUUGUCCGGAAUUAUUGGGCGUAAAGGGCUCGCAGGCGGUUUCUUAAGUCUGAUGUGAAAGCCCCCGGCUCAACCGGGGAGGGUCAUUGGAAACUGGGGAACUUGAGUGCAGAAGAGGAGAGUGGAAUUCCACGUGUAGCGGUGAAAUGCGUAGAGAUGUGGAGGAACACCAGUGGCGAAGGCGACUCUCUGGUCUGUAACUGACGCUGAGGAGCGAAAGCGUGGGGAGCGAACAGGAUUAGAUACCCUGGUAGUCCACGCCGUAAACGAUGAGUGCUAAGUGUUAGGGGGUUUCCGCCCCUUAGUGCUGCAGCUAACGCAUUAAGCACUCCGCCUGGGGAGUACGGUCGCAAGACUGAAACUCAAAGGAAUUGACGGGGGCCCGCACAAGCGGUGGAGCAUGUGGCUUAAUUCGAAGCAACGCGAAGAACCUUACCAGGUCUUGACAUCCUCUGACAAUCCUAGAGAUAGGACGUCCCCUUCGGGGGCAGAGUGACAGGUGGUGCAUGGUUGUCGUCAGCUCGUGUCGUGAGAUGUUGGGUUAAGUCCCGCAACGAGCGCAACCCUUGAUCUUAGUUGCCAGCAUUCAGUUGGGCACUCUAAGGUGACUGCCGGUGACAAACCGGAGGAAGGUGGGGAUGACGUCAAAUCAUCAUGCCCCUUAUGACCUGGGCUACACACGUGCUACAAUGGACAGAACAAAGGGCAGCGAAACCGCGAGGUUAAGCCAAUCCCACAAAUCUGUUCUCAGUUCGGAUCGCAGUCUGCAACUCGACUGCGUGAAGCUGGAAUCGCUAGUAAUCGCGGAUCAGCAUGCCGCGGUGAAUACGUUCCCGGGCCUUGUACACACCGCCCGUCACACCACGAGAGUUUGUAACACCCGAAGUCGGUGAGGUAACCUUUUAGGAGCCAGCCGCCGAAGGUGGGACAGAUGAUUGGGGUGAAGUCGGAACAAGGUA